RNAcentral lists this ribosomal RNA (1092 nucleotides) under Microbacterium sp. RMS25. RNAcentral's name for it is "bacterial SSU rRNA". It matches the Rfam family "Bacterial small subunit ribosomal RNA", at positions 250 to 1353 of the family's 1533-position model. Lineage: Bacteria; Bacillati; Actinomycetota; Actinomycetes; Micrococcales; Microbacteriaceae. The record is from RNAcentral.
UGGUGAGGUAAUGGCUCACCAAGGCGUCGACGGGUAGCCGGCCUGAGAGGGUGACCGGCCACACUGGGACUGAGACACGGCCCAGACUCCUACGGGAGGCAGCAGUGGGGAAUAUUGCACAAUGGGCGGAAGCCUGAUGCAGCAACGCCGCGUGAGGGAUGACGGCCUUCGGGUUGUAAACCUCUUUUAGCAGGGAAGAAGCGAAAGUGACGGUACCUGCAGAAAAAGCGCCGGCUAACUACGUGCCAGCAGCCGCGGUAAUACGUAGGGCGCAAGCGUUAUCCGGAAUUAUUGGGCGUAAAGAGCUCGUAGGCGGUUUGUCGCGUCUGCUGUGAAAACCCGAGGCUCAACCUCGGGCCUGCAGUGGGUACGGGCAGACUAGAGUGCGGUAGGGGAGAUUGGAAUUCCUGGUGUAGCGGUGGAAUGCGCAGAUAUCAGGAGGAACACCGAUGGCGAAGGCAGAUCUCUGGGCCGUAACUGACGCUGAGGAGCGAAAGGGUGGGGAGCAAACAGGCUUAGAUACCCUGGUAGUCCACCCCGUAAACGUUGGGAACUAGUUGUGGGGUCCAUUCCACGGAUUCCGUGACGCAGCUAACGCAUUAAGUUCCCCGCCUGGGGAGUACGGCCGCAAGGCUAAAACUCAAAGGAAUUGACGGGGACCCGCACAAGCGGCGGAGCAUGCGGAUUAAUUCGAUGCAACGCGAAGAACCUUACCAAGGCUUGACAUACACGAGAACGCUGCAGAAAUGUAGAACUCUUUGGACACUCGUGAACAGGUGGUGCAUGGUUGUCGUCAGCUCGUGUCGUGAGAUGUUGGGUUAAGUCCCGCAACGAGCGCAACCCUCGUUCUAUGUUGCCAGCACGUAAUGGUGGGAACUCAUGGGAUACUGCCGGGGUCAACUCGGAGGAAGGUGGGGAUGACGUCAAAUCAUCAUGCCCCUUAUGUCUUGGGCUUCACGCAUGCUACAAUGGCCGGUACAAAGGGCUGCAAUACCGCGAGGUGGAGCGAAUCCCAAAAAGCCGGUCCCAGUUCGGAUUGAGGUCUGCAACUCGACCUCAUGAAGUCGGAGUCGCUAGUAAUCGCAGAUCAGC